Culex quinquefasciatus (southern house mosquito) is the source of this 774-nucleotide long non-coding RNA. RefSeq lists it as uncharacterized. The record is from RefSeq and is a predicted model, not a curated record. The transcript is spliced from 2 exons. NCBI's taxonomy places the organism in Eukaryota, Metazoa, Arthropoda, Insecta, Diptera, Culicidae.
GCUUGGAUCUUGAUUGAUAAGGGAAUCUCUGCGAAUUUAAGCCAUGAUCCCGUUCCUGUUCCUCCUUCCCACUCUUGUAUAGCUGAGGACCAGCAGCUUUCUUCCGGUCUCGGUGAAAAUCUACGAGGGAGUUUGUGCCGAUGCCUCGUUCCGACAUUGUAAGAUUGUGAAUCCUGCGUCUACAUGAUCCGUUCUUGCGGUCAAAACCGCGUAAAAGACGCCGCGAGUACCUGUUUGACCGUUCAAGCCGGGAGAGUGGCACAAGAUACUCCAACCGAUGAGGAAACCAAGAAGGGCGCUGUUCCGGGUGAGGUUGCCACCACGAAAGAGGUUUCGGCUGCCGCCGCUGCAAGUCAAAUUUGUCGAAGAAGCUCAAGGUUCUGGCUGCCAGCAUCAAUGGCAAACCAUCUAAAGCAGCUGCAAAUGCAAAAAUGUAAUAUUUUGAUCCAGGAUUUGAUUGGCACGAUGAAAUGUAAACAAACCAUCCCUUUGAUUGCUGUUGGUGCCGUUGGUACAGAUUCCAUCGGUCCUCUCUCAGAAGCUCUUAAUUCUUUCAAUUAACAUUGACAGCAAUCGAUCCGCAAGGUUUGUUUACAUCCUUCCGGACCGAUUGUAUCCGAACUGAAAAACUUGUUUUGGCGUGAGGAAAGCCGGUUAAAAUUGAAAUUUGCGAUCCAAACCUGGGUGAAAUAAAAUUGCUGUGCGGAACCUUCCCUUUCCUGUCCGGAGCCAUCUACUGUUGCCCAGCAGUCUCGCGAAAUAAACAGCUGCUUG